GGGCGUAAAGAGCUCGUAGGUGGUUCGUUACGUCGGAUGUGAAAAUCUGGGGCUCAACCCCAGACCUGCAUCCGAUACGGUCGAGCUAGAGUUUGGUAGGGGAGACUGGAAUUCCUGGUGUAGCGGUGGAAUGCGCGGAUAUCAGGAGGAACACCAAUGGCGAAGGCAGGUCUCUGGGCCAAUACUGACACUGAGGAGCGAAAGCGUGGGGAGCGAACAGGAUUAGAUACCCUGGUAGUCCACGCCGUAAACGGUGGGCGCUAGUUGUGGGAACCUUCCACGGUUUCUGCGACGCAGCUAACGCAUUAAGCGCCCCGCCUGGGGAGUACGAUCGCAAGAUUAAAACUCAAAGGAAUUGACGGGGCCCCGCACAAGCAGCGGAGCAUGCGGCUUAAUUCGACGCAACGCGAAGAACCUUACCAAGGCUUGACAUAUAGGGAAAAGCGGCAGAGAUGUCGUGUCCGCAAGGGCUCUAUACAGGUGGUGCAUGGUUGUCGUCAGCUCGUGUCGUGAGAUGUUGGGUUAAGUCCCGCAACGAGCGCAACCCUCGUUCUGUGUUGCCAGCAUUUAGUUGGGGACUCACAGGAGACUGCCGGGGUUAACUCGGAGGAAGGUGGGGAUGACGUCAAAUCAUCAUGCCCCUUAUGUCUUGGGCUGCACGCAUGCUACAAUGGCCGGUACAGAGGGCUGCAAUACCGCAAGGUGGAGCGAAUCCCAAAAAGCCGGUCUCAGUUCGGAUUGAGGUCUGCAACUCGACCUCAUGAAGUUGGAGUUGCUAGUAAUCGUAGAU
RNAcentral lists this ribosomal RNA (790 nucleotides) under uncultured Actinomycetes bacterium. RNAcentral describes it as "bacterial SSU rRNA". It matches the Rfam family "Bacterial small subunit ribosomal RNA", at positions 556 to 1349 of the family's 1533-position model. The record is from RNAcentral. Lineage: Bacteria; Bacillati; Actinomycetota; Actinomycetes.